UACGGAGGGUGCAAGCGUUAUCCGGAAUCAUUGGGUUUAAAGGGUCCGUAGGCGGAUUAAUAAGUCAGUGGUGAAAGUCUGCAGCUCAACUGUAGAAUUGCCAUUGAUACUGUUAGUCUUGAAUUACUAUGAAGUAGUUAGAAUAUGUAGUGUAGCGGUGAAAUGCAUAGAUAUUACAUAGAAUACCAAUUGCGAAGGCAGGCUACUAAUAGUAUAUUGACGCUGAUGGACGAAAGCGUGGGUAGCGAACAGG
RNAcentral lists this ribosomal RNA (253 nucleotides) under uncultured bacterium. RNAcentral's name for it is "partial 16S ribosomal RNA". It matches the Rfam family "Bacterial small subunit ribosomal RNA", at positions 524 to 776 of the family's 1533-position model. The record is from RNAcentral.